This 250-nucleotide ribosomal RNA is filed under the name uncultured bacterium. RNAcentral's name for it is "partial 16S ribosomal RNA". It matches the Rfam family "Bacterial small subunit ribosomal RNA", at positions 524 to 773 of the family's 1533-position model. The record is from RNAcentral.
GACGAGGGAUCCUAGCGUUGUUCGGAAUCAUUGGGCGUAAAGCGGGUGCAGGUGGCUAUGUAAGUCAGGUGUGAAAGCCUAGGGCUCAACCCUAGAAGUGCAUUUGAUACUGCGUAGCUUGAGUGCUAGAGAGGAUAGUAGAAUUCCUGGUGUAGUGGUGAAAUACGUAGAUAUCAGGAGGAAUACCGGAGGCGAAGGCGGCUAUCUGGCUAGACACUGACACUCAGACCCGAAAGCGUGGGGAUCAAAC